Molecule: long non-coding RNA, 2767 nt
Organism: Eleginops maclovinus (Patagonian blennie)
Lineage: Eukaryota; Metazoa; Chordata; Actinopteri; Perciformes; Eleginopidae
Exons: 5
Source: RefSeq, a predicted model, not a curated record
UAGUCCUCAUUUCCAGAUUUGUUUUGAUGGAUUCUUUUUUCUCCUGUUCCUGUUGCGUCUGAGGCUCCACUCCCUCCAAUCCUCAUUAUUGCUUUAUAGUAGGAAGGGUUAUUUAUCUCUUUUAGUUAUAAAUCUGAGUUUAUUCCUUUCUAUUGUAGUGGAUUCAGUGAUUAUUUGGCACAUUGAGUGUUUUUUAAGACUCAGAGACUAUAUCCAAUUAUUAAGGCUCAUAAAAGAUAGACUAUUCAUCUGAGUAUCUAAAAAUAACUCUCCUGGCAUCACCCAAUGCCAAAUUUCUGUCCUGAUUAUCAACGGUCUUCUGGGUAAAGGAUGUUUGGCGCAUUCACCCUACAAAUAAAGUGAUGCUAAAUCGUCUGAUUGGCUGCCUCGCAAUCAAAGACAUUCAGCGUUCCGUAGCUUCCUGUGCCGGGAAAACUGUCCACACAUGGAAAAGAGGGAUAUACAGGUGACUUUAAUCAAAUAAAAACUGAGAAGAAAUGAAUCUACUACACAUUGCAACCAUUGAAGCUUCUUCCUCAUCUCCCAUCUGCAGGAAGGACGCGUCUCGGUGCGCACCGUACCAAAAAUGGACCACAGAACGUGUCCAGUGCGUCCGCGCCGAUCCUCCGCCGCUGUGUGCGGGACAAACUGAAGGAAAACCACACCGGAGGGGGACUGCACACACACUCACUGUCCGUCCAAGAGCUCAGAAGAUAACACCGAAGCGGAGACUCGUUCCUCAGACCAACGCGAGGACAUGGACAUACUGUAGCCAGACUGGACAGAGGGGAAGGAUGUAGCUUUACACCGAGGGACAUCACAACCUGCCAGAAGGGACUAGCGGAUGUCUUCACCGGAUUGAUUAAGUGUGCUCAGCGAAGCAGAGCCGGAUAAUAUUCCCAAAGUUAAAACCGUCUGCUUCCGGCAACAACAGCCAGAGCAAACGCUCAGACGGUGUCUGGAGAGGCUUAGGAAGACUUUCGCUCCCGUCUAAGAUCUCCGGCAGUCUGCUUCACAAGUUGAUGCCUUCUGCUUUGUGAUGCGUGAACACAAAAGGGACUUCCUCUUGCAACUGUCUGAUCGGGCGUAUAUGACAUGAAUUACAAACUCCAAAAAUGUGUGUUUUAUUUCUCUUUGGAGGCGAUUUCACUCAUCAAUUAUUCAUGGGAGGCUCAGAGUCUGGAAAUAUUAAUCUGCCGCUAAAACAAGGGAUUGUGUUUGUUGUGUUGCACAUUAAUAUUUGAACAUUUGUAAAGUGUACCGACAUGGCAGAAGCAUAAUAAGAGCAAAUGAUUUAUGCAAUUCUGAGUCGAUCUGAGUUUAUAGAGGAAUUAGAUUUGGGAACACAUUCUUUUUUUGCCGGCUACACUAAUCCAAAUUAAAUGAAUACUCUGAAUUCAUCUUAAUGAUCCAUUUCCACCUCAGUAGCUGAUGUGUGCAUUGACUGUAUAUGUAUGCAGAGAAGAGAAGGAAAACAAAUUACAAGAACAACAAAAAGACAAAUCCUUGCAGUUACUUUUUCAACUGCAAAUCAAAGUGUCAUCUAACUCACUAUUUGGGAAUUACAAAAACACUCAGGGGCCAUCAGGGAAAGAGAGAGAAUGGGACAGAUGGUGGGAGAAGAGAUAAUGACAGUGAGACGAUGCCAAGGACAAUAAAUCAAACAAAUAGACGACGUAACAGAAAACAAAAAGGGAAUUGAAACAGAAGGAUUAAACUAAACGUCGACCAAGGUCUUCUCAACGUCGCAUCUCUCUCUCAGCGAAGGGAUCAUCCAAUCCCAACGAAGACCUCAUUACAGAGAAGCCUCUGAUCCACGCAGCAUCAUGAAAAGUUAGAAUUGUAUCUAAAAAGUUCACAUUGUGAAAAGAAGUUAGAUUUAUGAAAAUAAUCUGAGAUUUUUAAAAGUCGAAAUUUAGAAAAAAAAAUCUGAAAUUUGAAAAAAAAUCCGUAUUUUAGGAAAAAGUCGGAAAAUUCCCAAAAAGUUAAAAUUUUGAGUUUUGAGGAUUAGGGCCACAUGAUGAAGGAGUUAGAGUAAUAAUUAGAAAAUAGUGGGACAUUUUUAAAAGUCAACAUUUGGAAAAAAGGGUCAAAUUUUUUGGGGAAAAAAUCGUACGUUUUUAAAAGAAGACAUUUAGAAAGAAAUUCUGCAAUUUGAAAAAAAGUCAGAUCUUUUAGGAGAAAAAGUGAUAAUUUUACUGAAGGAAAACGCUCCUGAGUGUUAGUUAAUUAAACUCUAUUGUACAGUUGCCUAAUUGGUACCUAGAGGCUAAUAUCGGUAGCUUCAACUUGGAAAGAUCAAGUGCGUCAAUAGCCGUUAAGAGUCCAGCGAGGGUCUAAUGGUCACUUUACUUUAACACACUGGACUGAACUGUGGAAGUUAAGUGACUCCACAGACUGUAAUGGAAAAGCUUAUUUAUUCUGCAGUAACUUUUCCAAAGCUUAAUCCCACCAAGCCUGUCCGAUUUCUGUGAUACACUUAGACCACCCUGAACUUGGGGAGAGGGUUGCAUGGAUAUAUAUGAGGUCAGAAAAAGAUAUAUGAAGAUAUAAACUCCAACAUUUGGCUGUGUUUUCGUGGCUGUCUGUGCACAUUGACAGUUUCUCUAUAGCCAAUCGUUGCAGGGGUGAAGCGAAUAUUCUCUUGGUUCAACCCCGAAGAUGUGAUUUGAUGUUCGGGCGUAGCAGAAUAAAGAUGUAUUAAUGCUAAAAUUGGCAAAUACUCACCUUCACACCUCAUUCUGUUCGCUCUGUGAUUGAUUUUUCU